Molecule: long non-coding RNA, 1157 nt
Filed under: Mytilus galloprovincialis (Mediterranean mussel)
Lineage: Eukaryota; Metazoa; Mollusca; Bivalvia; Mytilida; Mytilidae
Source: RNAcentral
CUUCUGUCCAAAUUUGGUAGAAAUUCAGUAUAGUUUAAGAAAGUUAUUAAAAUUUCAAAAACUUUAACCACAGAGUGAAUAUUUGUGGACGCCGCCGCCACCGACGACGACGGAAUGUAGGAUCGCUUAGUCUCGCUUUUUCGACUAAAGUCGAAGGCUCAACAAAAAGGAUUCCAUGUAAUGGUAACUAAGUGCAUUUAUAAGUAAAAUACAGAAAAAUAGAAAAUACAUUUUUACAAAUUUCUUUCUAGAUACUAGCUCUUGAUCAUAAACAAGCAUCUGUCCAAGUUUGGUACAAAUCCAGGAAAGUUUAAGAAAGUUAUUAAAAAUAUAAAAACUUUAACCACAGAGUGAAUAUUUGUGGACGCCACUGCUGCUGCUGACAGGAUGUAGGAUCGCUAUGUCUCACUUUAGUAACAAAAGUCACAGGCUUGACAAAAAUGAAGAUUACAGAUUACUUUAUUUCAUUUUCUUGUCUAAAUCCAUUUUGUUUUAUGAUAUGUGUUAUAUAUCUGUUAAUUCAGAAAUGUGUGCAGCAUUGAUUAUCUUGAUUACUGGUCAAUCAAUACAAAUGACAGAUAAAUUGUUGUGAUUUUAGGAAAUACUGAAUACACAUAAUGCUAAAAGUUUUAUUUUUGUGUUAGUGUUAAAUUCACUCACAGUUUACCGAGUCUUGCACUGAUUUAGAACUUUAUAUUUUGUACAGUCAUCCAUCUAAUUCUAACAACUAUAUGGUGACCUUGAGAUGUCUUUCUUAUUGUGUUGUAUUGUCAAAUUGCUGCCUUAAUGAAACAUAAACAAUGCCUGGUUUCAUUUAUACUGAGCAUAUAAAAAAAUGUUACAUAUAAAUAACAAUGAUCAGAAGGUCUAAAUGGGGCUAACAGAAAAUAAUGGGGUCCUAAAAUACAAAACAAAGGAGAAAAAAUGGCAUAAGUAACAAACAAUGAAGACCCCUAUCUCGACCCUGAUGUACAGCAUUAAAUCAUUACAAAAUAAUAAACAUACAAACAGUCCAAUACAUUAUCAACUGUUACCCUGACAACAGUUCAAAAAGGAUUUCUACAAAUAAAGAUGAGACAACUUUUAAAUAAAUGCUACAAAUCGUUCUACAUACCAAAUUACAAUUAAUGAUAACAAAUCGUUCUACAUACCAAAAU